RNAcentral lists this transfer RNA (84 nucleotides) under Rhizoctonia solani AG-1 IA. RNAcentral's name for it is "tRNA-Leu (CAA) (tRNA-Leu-CAA-2-1, tRNA-Leu-CAA-2-2)". It matches the Rfam family "tRNA". From Rfam's summary of the family: Transfer RNA (tRNA) molecules are approximately 80 nucleotides in length. Their secondary structure includes four short double-helical elements and three loops (D, anti-codon, and T loops). RNAcentral also lists the same sequence under 1 other name. Lineage: Eukaryota; Fungi; Basidiomycota; Agaricomycetes; Cantharellales; Ceratobasidiaceae. The record is from RNAcentral.
GGCAUGAUGGCCGAGCGGUCUAAGGCGACGCACUCAAGUUGCGUUGGGAUUUAUCCCGCGUGCGUUCAAAUCGCACUCAUGUCA